GACGAACGCUGGCGGCGUGCCUAAUACAUACAAGUCGAGCGAAGUUUUUCUGGUGCUUGCACUAGAAAAACUUAGCGGCGAACGGGUGAGUAACACGUAAAGAACCUGCCUCAUAGACUGGGACAACUAUUGGAAACGAUAGCUAAUACCGGAUAACAGCAUUAACUGCAUGGUUGAUGUUUAAAAGUUGGUUUUGCUAACACUAUGAGAUGGCUUUGCGGUGCAUUAGCUAGUUGGUGGGGUAAAGGCCUACCAAGGCGACGAUGCAUAGCCGACCUGAGAGGGUGAUCGGCCACACUGGGACUGAGACACGGCCCAGACUCCUACGGGAGGCAGCAGUAGGGAAUCUUCCGCAAUGGGCGAAAGCCUGACGGAGCAACGCCGCGUGAGUGAAGAAGGAUUUCGGUUCGUAAAGCUCUGUUGUUAGGGAAGAAUGAUUGUGUAGUAACUAUACACAGUAGAGACGGUACCUAACCAGAAAGCCACGGCUAACUACGUG
This 499-nucleotide ribosomal RNA is filed under the name uncultured bacterium. Its description in RNAcentral is "partial 16S ribosomal RNA". It matches the Rfam family "Bacterial small subunit ribosomal RNA", at positions 28 to 507 of the family's 1533-position model. The record is from RNAcentral.